GAAGCACUCCCUCACUACGUAGCACUGGAGCGGAUCUGGGCCGUCAGCGAAGUUGGAGCCUGGACAUACACGUAUCCACCCCGAUCACAGAAGCAGUGAGGGGGAUCGGAAUUUACCGGUGACAAAAUCUGA
Molecule: long non-coding RNA, 132 nt
Organism: Solea senegalensis (Senegalese sole)
Lineage: Eukaryota; Metazoa; Chordata; Actinopteri; Pleuronectiformes; Soleidae
Exons: 2
Source: RefSeq, a predicted model, not a curated record